This 624-nucleotide ribosomal RNA is filed under the name Exophiala pisciphila. Its description in RNAcentral is "eukaryotic LSU rRNA". The stretch from base 213 to 367 matches the Rfam family "5.8S ribosomal RNA". The record is from RNAcentral. Lineage: Eukaryota; Fungi; Ascomycota; Eurotiomycetes; Chaetothyriales; Herpotrichiellaceae.
UAACGAGUUAGGGUCUUUUAUAGGCUCGACCUCCCAACCCUUUGUUUACCCGACCCACGUUGCUUCGGCGAGCCCGUCUCUCCCUCUCCGGGGGGGCAGACCGCCGGGGGGCCUUCAAACCGUCCUCUGGCCCGCGCUCGUCGGUAGCCAACCUUUACAAAUUCUUAAUUAAACGUGUCUACUCUGAGUACUAUUUUUUUAAUUAAAAGCAAAACUUUCAACAACGGAUCUCUUGGUUCUGGCAUCGAUGAAGAACGCAGCGAAAUGCGAUAAGUAAUGCGAAUUGCAGAAUUCCAGUGAGUCAUCGAAUCUUUGAACGCACAUUGCGCCCUUUGGCAUUCCGAAGGGCAUGCCUGUUCGAGCGUCAUUAUCACCUCUCAAGCCCCCCUUUUCUGGGCUUGGUGUUGGACGGCCUGGCGUCGGCGACGACCCCACCUCCCAAAGACAAUGACGGCGGCUUCGUGAGACCCCCGGUACACUGAGUUCCUCACCGAACACGUACUGGAUCAAGGGUAGACGGAGCCCCGGUCGACCUCCCCUCACAGGGAGACACUUUUUUACAAGGUUGACCUCGGAUCAGGUAGGAAUACCCGCUGAACUUAAGCAUAUCAAUAAGCGGAGGAA